ACGGGUGAGUAAUGCCUAGGAAUCUGCCUGGUAGUGGGGGAUAACGUUCGGAAACGGACGCUAAUACCGCAUACGUCCUACGGGAGAAAGCAGGGGACCUUCGGGCCUUGCGCUAUCAGAUGAGCCUAGGUCGGAUUAGCUAGUUGGUGAGGUAAUGGCUCACCAAGGCAACGAUCCGUAACUGGUCUGAGAGGAUGAUCAGUCACACUGGAACUGAGACACGGUCCAGACUCCUACGGGAGGCAGCAGUGGGGAAUAUUGGACAAUGGGCGAAAGCCUGAUCCAGCCAUGCCGCGUGUGUGAAGAAGGUCUUCGGAUUGUAAAGCACUUUAAGUUGGGAGGAAGGGCAUUAACCUAAUACGUUAGUGUUUUGACGUUACCGACAGAAUAAGCACCGGCUAACUCUGUGCCAGCAGCCGCGGUAAUACAGAGGGUGCAAGCGUUAAUCGGAAUUACUGGGCGUAAAGCGCGCGUAGGUGGUUUGUUAAGUUGGAUGUGAAAUCCCCGGGCUCAACCUGGGAACUGCAUUCAAAACUGACUGACUAGAGUAUGGUAGAGGGUGGUGGAAUUUCCUGUGUAGCGGU
RNAcentral lists this ribosomal RNA (584 nucleotides) under uncultured Pseudomonas sp. RNAcentral's name for it is "bacterial SSU rRNA". It matches the Rfam family "Bacterial small subunit ribosomal RNA", at positions 102 to 682 of the family's 1533-position model. Lineage: Bacteria; Pseudomonadati; Pseudomonadota; Gammaproteobacteria; Pseudomonadales; Pseudomonadaceae. The record is from RNAcentral.